GAAUCAUUCACAAUGGGCGCAAGCCUGAUGGUGCGACGCCGCGUGGGGGAUGACGGUCUUCGGAUUGUAAACCCCUGUCACCGGGGACAAAACGUUGUCUGUGAACAGCAGAUGACCUGAUUUAACCCGGAGCGGCAGCAGUGGCUAACUCUGUGCCAGCAGCCGCGGUAAUACAGAGACUGCAAGCGUUGUUCGGAUUUACUGGGCGUAAAGGGUGCGCAGGCGGCCGGAUGUGUCGGGUGUGAAAUUUCGAGGCUCAACCUCGAGACUGCGCUCGAAACUAUCCGGCUAGAGUAUUGGAGAGGGAGGCGGAAUUCACGGUGUAGCAGUGAAAUGCGUAGAUAUCGUGAGGAACACCAGUGGCGAAGGCGGCCUCCUGGACAAUUACUGACGCUCAGGCACGAAAGCGUGGGGAGCAAAAGGG
RNAcentral lists this ribosomal RNA (424 nucleotides) under uncultured bacterium. RNAcentral describes it as "bacterial SSU rRNA". It matches the Rfam family "Bacterial small subunit ribosomal RNA", at positions 359 to 776 of the family's 1533-position model. The record is from RNAcentral.